UGGGGAAUAUUGCGCAAUGGGCGAAAGCCUGACGCAGCGACGCCGCGUGGGUGAUGAAGGCCUUCGGGUCGUAAAGCCCUGUCUGGAGGGAAGAAUCCUCGGCGACCUAAUACGUCGCCGACCUGACGGUACCUCCGAAGGAAGCACCGGCUAACUCCGUGCCAGCAGCCGCGGUAAUACGGAGGGUGCGAGCGUUGUUCGGAAUCACUGGGCGUAAAGCGCGUGUAGGCGGCCUUCUAAGUCUGGUGUGAAAGCCCGGGGCUCACCCCCGGAAGUGCACUGGAAACUGGGAGGCUUGAGUACCGGAGAGGAGGGUGGAAUUCCUGGUGUAGCGGUGAAAUGCGUAGAUAUCAGGAGGAACACCGGUGGCGAAGGCGGCCCUCUGGACGGAUACUGACGCUGAGACGCGAAAGCGUGGGGAGCAAACAGGAUUAGAUACCCUGGUAGUCCACGCCGUAAACGAUGGGCACUAGGUGUUCGGGGUAUUGACCCCUCGAGUGCCGCAGCUAACGCAUUAAGUGCCCCGCCUGGGGACUACGGCCGCAAGGUUA
Molecule: ribosomal RNA, 551 nt
Filed under: uncultured bacterium
Lineage: Bacteria
Description: bacterial SSU rRNA
Rfam family: Bacterial small subunit ribosomal RNA
Source: RNAcentral